ACCCGGGUUGCGGACAGUGUCUGGUGGGUAGUUUGACUGGGGCGGUCUCCUCCUAAAGAGUAACGGAGGAGCACGAAGGUUGGCUAAUCCUGGUCGGACAUCAGGAGGUUAGUGCAAUGGCAUAAGCCAGCUUGACUGCGAGCGUGACGGCGCGAGCAGGUGCGAAAGCAGGUCAUAGUGAUCCGGUGGUUCUGAAUGGAAGGGCCAUCGCUCAACGGAUAAAAGGUACUCCGGGGAUAACAGGCUGAUACCGCCCAAGAGUUCAUAUCGACGGCGGUGUUUGGCACCUCGAUGUCGGCUCAUCACAUCCUGGGGCUGAAGUAGGUCCCAAGGGUAUGGCUGUUCGCCAUUUAAAGUGGUACGCGAGCUGGGUUUAGAACGUCGUGAGACAGUUCGGUCCCUAUCUGCCGUGGGCGCUGGAGAACUGAGGGGGGCUGCUCCUAGUACGAGAGGACCGGAGUGGACGCAUCACUGGUGUUCGGGUUGUCAUGCCAAUGGCACUGCCCGGUAGCUAAAUGCGGAAGAGAUAAGUGCUGAAAGCAUCUAAGCACGAAACUUGCCCCGAG
RNAcentral lists this ribosomal RNA (566 nucleotides) under Salmonella enterica subsp. enterica serovar Heidelberg. Its description in RNAcentral is "partial 23S ribosomal RNA". It matches the Rfam family "Bacterial large subunit ribosomal RNA", at positions 2238 to 2803 of the family's 2925-position model. Lineage: Bacteria; Pseudomonadati; Pseudomonadota; Gammaproteobacteria; Enterobacterales; Enterobacteriaceae. RNAcentral also lists the same sequence under 3 other names. The record is from RNAcentral.